Molecule: transfer RNA, 76 nt
Filed under: Corynebacterium callunae DSM 20147
Lineage: Bacteria; Bacillati; Actinomycetota; Actinomycetes; Mycobacteriales; Corynebacteriaceae
Description: tRNA-Arg
Rfam family: tRNA
About the family: Transfer RNA (tRNA) molecules are approximately 80 nucleotides in length. Their secondary structure includes four short double-helical elements and three loops (D, anti-codon, and T loops).
Source: RNAcentral
GCGCCCGUAGCUCAACGGAUAGAGCAUCUGACUACGGAUCAGAAGGUUGGGGGUUCGAGUCCCUCCGGGCGCACAA